CCGGCCGCGUCCAUCUCCUCCCGCAGGAUCUUCUCGAUCUUGCCGAUAGACCGCCUUGCCAGCGGCAGAUACGAGAAGAUCCCCGCCGCCAGUUGCCGGAUGAACCCGGCCCUGAGUAGCAGCCUGUGGCUGGCAACCUCCACGUCCGAAGGCGCCUCGCGUAACGUCCGUCCGAACAUCGUGCUCAUGCGCAUGGCGAACAGGCUACAGGCUACAGGUUUCAGGCUUCAGGACUGCCAGUGGGGCGUACCUGUCCACCCGCCAACCUUCGUCUCUUACCUGACGAUCUAACACACCC
This 298-nucleotide unclassified non-coding RNA is filed under the name plant metagenome. RNAcentral's name for it is "partial contains 5.8S ribosomal RNA, internal transcribed spacer 2, and large subunit ribosomal RNA". The record is from RNAcentral.